AGAAACUUAGGAUUAAUCGAAACCGAAGGCCUUCAAAGCCUUAAACAAGAGUUAGACCCUCUUAGUUUCUG
This 71-nucleotide transfer RNA is filed under the name Rhamphocharis crassirostris piperata. RNAcentral describes it as "tRNA-Trp". It matches the Rfam family "tRNA". Rfam says of the family: Transfer RNA (tRNA) molecules are approximately 80 nucleotides in length. Their secondary structure includes four short double-helical elements and three loops (D, anti-codon, and T loops). Further hydrogen bonds mediate the characteristic L-shaped molecular structure. tRNAs have two regions of fundamental functional importance: the anti-codon, which is responsible for specific mRNA codon recognition, and the 3' end, to which the tRNAs corresponding amino acid is attached (by aminoacyl-tRNA synthetases). tRNAs cope with the degeneracy of the genetic code in two manners: having more than one tRNA (with a specific anti-codon) for a particular amino acid; and 'wobble' base-pairing, i.e. permitting non-standard base-pairing at the 3rd anti-codon position. The record is from RNAcentral. Lineage: Eukaryota; Metazoa; Chordata; Aves; Passeriformes; Melanocharitidae.